CGAUGAAGAGCGCAGCCAGCUGCGUUAAUUAAUGUGAAUUGCAGGACACAUUGAACAUCGAGAUCUUGAACGCAUAUGGCGGCCUCGGGAUCCCGGGGCCACGCCCGUCUCAGGGUCGGUU
Molecule: ribosomal RNA, 121 nt
Filed under: Eisenia nordenskioldi aff. nordenskioldi 3 SVS-2012
Lineage: Eukaryota; Metazoa; Annelida; Clitellata; Crassiclitellata; Lumbricidae
Description: partial 5.8S ribosomal RNA
Rfam family: 5.8S ribosomal RNA
About the family: 5.8S ribosomal RNA (5.8S rRNA) is a component of the large subunit of the eukaryotic ribosome.
Source: RNAcentral